This 774-nucleotide long non-coding RNA is filed under the name Lathyrus oleraceus (garden pea). Its description in RNAcentral is "Pisum sativum (pea) long non-coding RNA (PSAT_LNC040939)". The record is from RNAcentral. Lineage: Eukaryota; Viridiplantae; Streptophyta; Magnoliopsida; Fabales; Fabaceae.
ACCUAAUCUUUGCACCGUUACUCUACUAAAAUCUCACUCGCACCCAUCACCAAAGCUCAAAUACUCCCGAAGUUUACUCAGAGUUCAUCACUAGAACUUUGAGAUAACUGAGCUAAGCCCCUGUCAAACCAAGACAAACCCAGAUCAGUAAAGAAGAACGGAGAAGAAAGAGGAGAAGAUCUCAGAAAGCCAUAAAAGAUCAAUUACCUCACCUCGCCGGAGUUCGAACAUCGGACUAGCUCCGAUUUGGUAUUUAAACUUCUCCUUUACAUGAUUUGAGGUUACCAUCUUGUUCGCAUUGCUUCAUAGAACGCAAACCCCGUGAUUAUUGCAUAAAAUUGUUGUUACCAUGGUUUUGAUUUUAAGCUGAAAACUUAGGCUUCUAGUUGUUGUUGUUUUCCGAUUUGGCUCUUUGGAUUUUUUUGGGUUUGUAAAUCUACUUGUUUAAAUCUGGAUUUAGGAAUGAUUGUUUGGUUAGGAGUUUGAUGUUGGUUUCCGAAUCUCGCGACGACACCACCAUGACAGUGCAAAGAUGCCGUCGUAGAGCUCCACCGUUAUUGCCGUGAUGUUCCAAAUGUCUGAGUUCGAUUUCAGGAUAGAAAAAAGGAAAAUAAAAUGAAUUUGAGAAGAAUGGUUUGUAAGAGAGAAGGAUAGAAAGAGGUUCAUGGUUGAGGGAGAUAGAAACUUUAUGACUUUUUCUUUUCCAAUCCGCAGAUUCGCUUUUAUUCCAUUCCCUUUAGUACUUAUUAAUUAAGUGGUUUCCAUGUGGUAAUU